Homo sapiens (human) is the source of this 133-nucleotide small nuclear RNA. NCBI's taxonomy places the organism in Eukaryota, Metazoa, Chordata, Mammalia, Primates, Hominidae. The record is from Ensembl.
AGCUUUGCACAGUGGCGGUAUCGUAGCCAAUGAGGUCUAUCCGAGGAGCGAUUACCGCUCAUCGAAAACACAUUAAAGGAACUAAGAAUUCAUUAAGAAUUAAUAACAUUAACAUUAACUUAAUGUUAACAUU